UACGGAGGAUGCGAGCGUUAUCCGGAUUUAUUGGGUUUAAAGGGUGCGUAGGCGGCUUAGUAAGUCAGCGGUGAAAUUUUGCAGCUUAACUGUAACAGUGCCGUUGAUACUGCCAGGCUAGGAUUUGGUUGCUGUGGGUGGAAUGUGUGGUGUAGCGGUGAAAUGCUUAGAUAUCACACAGAAUAUCGAUUGCGGAGGCAGCUCACAAAGCCAAGAUUGACGCUGAGGCACGAAAGUGUGGGGAUCAAACAGGA
Molecule: ribosomal RNA, 254 nt
Filed under: uncultured prokaryote
Description: partial 16S ribosomal RNA
Rfam family: Bacterial small subunit ribosomal RNA
Source: RNAcentral